RNAcentral lists this transfer RNA (69 nucleotides) under Diplodactylus pulcher (fine-faced gecko). RNAcentral describes it as "tRNA-Trp". Lineage: Eukaryota; Metazoa; Chordata; Lepidosauria; Squamata; Diplodactylidae. The record is from RNAcentral.
AGAUACUUAGGUUAACUCAAACCAGAGACCUUCAAAGUCUCAAAUAGGACCUACUCCUCCUAGUUUCUG